Molecule: ribosomal RNA, 253 nt
Filed under: uncultured bacterium
Lineage: Bacteria
Description: partial 16S ribosomal RNA
Rfam family: Bacterial small subunit ribosomal RNA
Source: RNAcentral
UACAGAGGUGGCAAGCGUUGUUCGGAAUUACUGGGCGUAAAGGGCGCGUAGGUGGCCAUCUAAGUCAGACGUGAAAUCCCCCGGCUUAACCUGGGAACUGCGUCUGAUACUGGACGGCUUGAGUAUGGGAGAGGAACGUAGAAUUCCAGGUGUAGCGGUGAAAUGCGUAGAUAUCUGGAGGAACACCGGUGGCGAAGGCGGGUCUCUGGGCCGAUACUGACGCUGAGGAGCGAAAGCGUGGGGAGCGAACAGG